UCUGCGGGAAGGGGCUGCACCUAAGGGGUCGGGAGGCACGGCCUCCACCGGGAACCCUGGCCCGGUUUUGGGCCUGGCCUCAUUCUACCACCUGCACCACCCGCACCCCUCCCCCGCUCUUCCGCACGUUCAUUCCCCCCGCAGCGCCGCCUCCGCCUCCGCCUCCCAAGUUCACACUCCACCUCCUUGCACACGGGACCUCCUCCAGGCCGGGCCAUGCUGGGCAUGUCUGUAAGUAGCCCCAGACACUCUGAAUGCGGCGCAGGCCAGUUCAGGGCUCUGGGAACUCACCGCUCUCAGCUUAACGGGAGCUACCUCUGGGAGCACCACAGUGGCUCCUCCAAGGGAUGUAAAAACCUCUUCUCCCUUUCUAGACUCAGGACAGCUCUGUGCUCCAGCCAGUUCCCCUUCCUCUGAGAUUGCGGGGUCCUCCUGCUUUUACAGGUCUGUGUUACCCCGAUUUCUGCCCCCACUCACGCUACACUUUUCCCAGCAGUCAAUUGCACCUACACCCAACUUCGAAAGAGGACCGCAGCUACCUCCGUUUUGACCUCCAACUUUCUGAUUAAGUUCUUUCUAGCUUAUCUCUGAACUCAGGCCACUGAACCUAUCCCCUCAAGCAAUAGGGACUGCCCCAAUGCCAGCAAGACUCCAUAUGAUGGACCUCAAGACAAUGGUUGGUGUGACCUUAGCCGCCUAUCUGCAGUUCUCACCGACCUUCCACAUUUCCCUUCUAUCAACCUGGAAGUAUUUUUGGCACCUUGAAACAUUAGUCUGCUGCCUUCCCAACGUUGGCCUCACUGAAAUAAAUUCCUUUCUGGCUUCACCACCACUCCUCUCUGUCUUUGGAUUUUGUCAGCUGUGAAUGGCCAAACCUGGUCUGUUUGGAAGCCUCGGGGCGAAGUGUCCUUGCACCCCUGCGCCUCUGGCUACACUUCAAGUUUACGUAAUCAGCUGAAUCUGUAAAUCCAGACGUGCUUCAGAAAACCCACAUUUUGGACUUUUUUCAAGGAGAGAGGGAAGAUGAGAAGGUCGGGAGACAGCUACACAUCUUAAGAAGGAGACUCUGCAGAGCUUAGGGAAGGUGGUUAACGUUACUUGGUGAUCAGAAGUGGGAUGCAAGGAAGACCCCCAAUAACUCUGAGGCUGGUGAACAAACACCGGCACCCACAGAGCCAACUGGGCCCCUGCUGCCUUCUGGCUGACCGUGCGGUUUGGGGCAAUUCCGAGCGGGAAUGCUAGCCACCGUGACGCUGGAAACCGCCCCAGCUGUGUCUCCUGUCCCCUGGCUGCUUUGAAUGCCCCGGCUCCGGAGGGUUCUUUCCGCCUCCUUCAGAUGCAACCUGCUGUGGGAAAGUGGGAAGCGGAAACCCCGAUUGACUGGCAGAUUCCUGAAAAAAACAGAAAUAGCUGCGUUUGCCUGGAAAUGACUAAUAUUUGUGGGUGGCUGAUGGGUUUUAUUGUUUUAAUAACUAUUAGGAGUAAUAGAUACUCAAAAAAGAGGACAAGUUUUGUAACAGAAAAAUAAAGUUACAUUUUGUUUUACCAAACCUAGAUCUUGGCCUGUGAAAGGCAGAUCAGCUACAAAUAUUUGUAAAAAUCGAUUGCAUAUAAGAAACCUUAAUAAAUUCCAAAAAUCAGAAAUUGCAAUGACUAUAUUCCAUAGCUACAUUGUAACCAAUAAAUAUGUCAAAGCAAAACAAGAAAACCCAGCCACUUGGAAAUCAUAAAAGGGGCGGGGAAUUAUUCUAAACAGCACUAGAGUCGUAGAGAAAUCAAGAUCAGAAUACCAGAAUCUUUAGAAAAAGAUUAAAUAAGAAAACACCGCAUAUUGAUGAUCAGGUAUAUGGACAAAGCUGUGUCUUCUGAUAUAAACUCACAGCUUUAAAUGCUUUUGUCAGCUGAGACAAAGAGAAUUUAAUCAACUGAAUACUCCACUUAGAAUUUUAGAAAAACAAAAUCUUUUUUUAAAAAAAAGAUUUUUACUUAUUUAUUUGAGAGGGAGACAGAUCGAGCGUGAGUCGGGGAGGAGGAGCAGAGUGAAAAGGAGAAGCAGACCCCUUGGGCAGGGAGCCCAAUGCAGAGCUCAGUCUCAGGACGCUAGGAUCAUGACUUGAGCUGAAGGCAGACGCUUAACAGACUGAGCCACCCAGGCGCCCCGAAAAACAACAAAUCCUUAAGAUAGGAGUAAAGAAAUAACUGCAGAGAUAAAUUAAUUAGAAAAAUUAAUUAGUUAUUUUUAAAAAACGAAUACACAAAUAACACUAAGAGAAAAUGCAAACUGUACAUCUCUUACUUAACUUGUCCUUCAGAAAUUACUUAGCCAUCUGUCUGAGCAGCAGGCCCUUCCUUCCCCCCAAUUUGCCCACCGUGCCCCUUUAAGGAGAGUCACUAUACACCCUCCCUCGUAGGUUAGAGCCCACUGCCACAUGAUCUGACAUAAUCUUCAAAAUCCUGAAGUUCCCACAACUACAUGGCCAGGAGGAGAUUGGGAAUGUCCCUUUUGAGGAUGAGAGCAGGUUGAUACAAGUCACUGACCAGUUGUAACGUGCUUAUAUUCGUGUGUGUGUGUGUGUGUACAAGUGUAAGGCUGUGCAUAGGUAUGUGUGUUCAGGUAUGGGUGUACAAGUGUGGGGGGUGUACAAGUGUGGGAGUAUCUUGUUUUCUUUUGGUCCUUGAAUUACUCUGAAUUGUGGAAUUCAGAUGGUCUCUAAGUGUCUAAUCCCAACACAGAAGUACAUUUUUAUAUGCUCUGCAACCACUGAUAGACAUGUAUUAUACACUAAGGAUUUUAAUGAAUUCAAAUUGUGCACCCCAAAAGAACAACCAGAAGGUAACCGCUUUGAUUUUCUUGUCCACCUGUAUCAAUCAUCUGUAAUAACAGCACCAUAUACCAGGGACUCAGUGCCAAACGAUCAUCAUCUCAGUUGACCUUUCAUUACGUAGGACGUGUUAUGAUUAUUCCCAUCAAGAGCUAGCGAGGGCUCAGAAGGGUUAAAGUGAUUCGCCCUGCAUCACACACCUAUCUCAGUGCUGAUCCACGGGGAGGUUUGUAUGGCUCCCAAGAUACUGGUCUUAUCAUUAUGCUAUAAAAAGUAUAAUAAGUUUUUUUUAUGAUAAAAGUAUUUUAAAAAUUAUUUUUGAAGUAUUUUUUCCUUGGAGCAUUAAAAAGUAUUUUUUCUUCAUUCUUAUUGUAUACAUAUAAAAAAUAGUAUGUACA
This is a long non-coding RNA of Ailuropoda melanoleuca (giant panda), 3220 nucleotides long. RefSeq lists it as uncharacterized. The record is from RefSeq and is a predicted model, not a curated record. Lineage: Eukaryota; Metazoa; Chordata; Mammalia; Carnivora; Ursidae. The transcript has 4 exons.